GUGCCAGCAGGCCGCGGAUCGACACCGGUGCGUUGCCAGGUGAAGGCGAAGGUAUCGGGGACCUGAUCGGCAAUCAGCCAACCCGUGUUGCUCGGCUUAAGGGGCUCGAUAUCGUGCAUCAGCAGGCAGACGCCACAAUCGCUAUCGAUUCUCGGCAACCACGAACAGAGACAAUGACUGUUCGGCACUCGGCAGCGAGCGCAUCGUGGCGCGCGCGAGCCACGGGCAACGAAGGGCUUCAGGCUUUUCGCCAGGCGCUCGUCACGCAGGCGGGCUACGGCAUGGGGCAUGGAUCGACUCGAAGGGUUGACGACGAAGCGCGGCAGUCUACCAGCGCCCAAGCAUCUGCCGCGCAGUAUCGGUAAAUGAACCGCACCCCAGCCAGCCGGUCGAAAUAGCGCAGUCAUAAGGAGACCGCCAUGUACCGUCUGACCACCCUGCUCGCUCUGAGCCUCGCUCUACCCGUUGCCCACGCCGCCUCGCUGCAAGAACAGCAGCU
This 499-nucleotide ribosomal RNA is filed under the name uncultured bacterium. RNAcentral's name for it is "partial 16S ribosomal RNA". The record is from RNAcentral.